GCUUGCUUGUUGGGGUUGUAGGACACUCUAUACGGAGUUACAAAGGACGACAUUAGACGAAUCAUCUGGAAAGAUGAAUCAAAGAAGGUAAUAAUCCUGUAGUCGAAAAUGUUGUCUCUCUUGAGUGGAUCCUGAGUACGACGGAGCACGUGAAAUUCCGUCGGAAUCUGGGAGGACCAUCUCCUAAGGCUAAAUACUCUCUAGUGACCGAUAGUGAACCAGUACCGUGAGGGAAAGGUGAAAAGCACCCCGGAAGGGGAGUGAAAUAGAACCUGAAACCGUGUGCUUACAAGUAGUCAGAGCCCGUUAAUGGGUGAUGGCGUGCCUUUUGUAGAAUGAACCGGCGAGUUACGAUUUGAUGCAAGGUUAAGCAGUAAAUGUGGAGCCGUAGCGAAAGCGAGUCUGAAUAGGGCGUUUAGUAUUUGGUCGUAGACCCGAAACCAGGUGAUCUACCCUUGGUCAGGUUGAAGUUCAGGUAACACUGAAUGGAGGACCGAACCGACUUACGUUGAAAAGUGAGCGGAUGAACUGAGGGUAGCGGAGAAAUUCCA
RNAcentral lists this ribosomal RNA (551 nucleotides) under Staphylococcus aureus. RNAcentral's name for it is "partial 23S ribosomal RNA". It matches the Rfam family "Bacterial large subunit ribosomal RNA", at positions 283 to 831 of the family's 2925-position model. Lineage: Bacteria; Bacillati; Bacillota; Bacilli; Caryophanales; Staphylococcaceae. The record is from RNAcentral.